This 498-nucleotide ribosomal RNA is filed under the name uncultured bacterium. RNAcentral's name for it is "partial 16S ribosomal RNA". It matches the Rfam family "Bacterial small subunit ribosomal RNA", at positions 27 to 507 of the family's 1533-position model. The record is from RNAcentral.
GGAUGAACGCUGGCGGCGUGCCUAAUACAUGCAAGUCGAGCGAACAGACGAGGAGCUUGCUCCUCUGACGUUAGCGGCGGACGGGUGAGUAACACGUGGAUAACCUACCUAUAAGACUGGGAUAACUUCGGGAAACCGGAGCUAAUACCGGAUAAUAUAUUGAACCGCAUGGUUCAAUAGUGAAAGACGGUUUUGCUGUCACUUAUAGAUGGAUCCGCGCCGCAUUAGCUAUUUGGUAAGGUAACGGCUUACCAAGGCAACGAUGCGUAGCCGACCUGAGAGGGUGAUCGGCCACACUGGAACUGAGACACGGUCCAGACUCCUACGGGAGGCAGCAGUAGGGAAUCUUCCGCAAUGGGCGAAAGCCUGACGGAGCAACGCCGCGUGAGUGAUGAAGGUCUUCGGAUCGUAAAACUCUGUUAUUAGGGAAGAACAAAUGUGUAAGUAACUAUGCACGUCUUGACGGUACCUAAUCAGAAAGCCACGGCUAACUACGUG